Theobroma umbraticum is the source of this 554-nucleotide long non-coding RNA. RefSeq lists it as uncharacterized. The record is from RefSeq and is a predicted model, not a curated record. Lineage: Eukaryota; Viridiplantae; Streptophyta; Magnoliopsida; Malvales; Malvaceae.
GCCAUAUCACCCCAUUCUUCUUUCUCAACUCUUUUCCUCUCUACUCAUAUGAAACCCUAAGCCCCAAAUGCCAUUUGGAGCUUAUUGAGACAGAUUUGAGUUUGGAAAAUUGAUCAAGAGAUUUGGUCAAACUCUUUCACCUUAAGUUUAUUAGAAAUUUGGAGCCUAGAUUUGAGCAACCCAACUUCUAAGGGAAAGUUGAAGCCAUCUAACGCGUUGGUGAGUUAUAAGACUACUAGAGGUCGAGGAUUGGAGCUCAGCUAUAGGAACACUUCCGAUUAUCAAGAUGUUGAUCUGAUUUGUGGUGGAGUGUAGUUCCGUCCCCCUGUGACUAUGUGUGUGCCUGCAGACGGUGGCUUAUUCCUGCCUGCAGUACUUUAAUGCCAUCCGUUACGAUUAUUUCGAGUGAUGUUGACAUCGAAAGAUUACUCUAGUUGAUGAUUUGAUUCUUCACCACCUGCUUCGGCAUUACACGUGAUUUGUUCUCCGCCUGUUACUUUGGCACAUGCAUGGUUUGUUUCUCCGCCAAUAGCUUUGUAUUAACCAUGAUUUGA